UACGGAGGAUGCAAGCGUUAUCCGGAAUGAUUGGGCGUAAAGCGUCCGCAGGUGGCAAUGUAAGUCUGCUGUUAAAGAGUUUGGCUCAACCAAAUAAAAGCAGUGGAAACUACAUAGCUAGAGUACGUUCGGGGCAGAGGGAAUUCCUGGUGUAGCGGUGAAAUGCGUAGAUAUCAGGAAGAACACCGGUGGCGAAAGCGCUCUGCUAGGCCGUAACUGACACUGAGGGACGAAAGCUAGGGGAGCGAAUGGG
This 253-nucleotide ribosomal RNA is filed under the name uncultured bacterium. RNAcentral describes it as "partial 16S ribosomal RNA". It matches the Rfam family "Bacterial small subunit ribosomal RNA", at positions 524 to 776 of the family's 1533-position model. The record is from RNAcentral.